Molecule: long non-coding RNA, 1269 nt
Organism: Lepus europaeus (European hare)
Lineage: Eukaryota; Metazoa; Chordata; Mammalia; Lagomorpha; Leporidae
Exons: 3
Source: RefSeq, a predicted model, not a curated record
AGCACGGACUCUCCUUGCAGAGAGGAGAGAGCGCUCACUCCCAGGAGAGAGAUUGACUGAGCAACUAUUAAGUGCCACACAUCAGGAGAUGAGUGACAAAGCAAAGAUGGCUACAAACACCAGGGCUUGACCAGGCUGAAGCCGCGAAGCUGGAACUGCAUCUGGGUGUCCCACCUGUGUGGCAGCAGCCCAGGUCCUGGGGCAGUCUUCCGCUGCUCUCCCAGGCUCCUUAGCAGGGAGCUGGAUCGGAAGUGGAGCAGCAGGGACUCCAGCCAGCACUCUGACCUGGAAUGCAGGCGCAGCAUGCCAGCCUGCUGGAGUCUUUCUUCCAUGAACUUUCUGAAGUACCCCUGGAGACGCAUCCAUCUUCCUCACCGGCGGGUUCCUUCUGUGCUCGGCGUUCAGCACAAGGACUGGCACACAGCAGGUGCACGGCACGACUUGGCGCCUCACUCCGCCUACAGAGCUCUUUCCAUUCACGCCUUAGUCUUUCUCUCUGUAUCCUGGCAUUUUUCUCAGUUGUUACCUUGUGAGGACAAGGUUGAUUUAUCACCAGUGUCAAUGCUGUCCCUUCCCGGAGGUUCUCGGCUUCUGCAGGACGGGGACUACCUCCUACUUCACCCAGUCUCCCCUUGCUGGGAAAACAGUCGGCACUCUUGAGCACCUGUAAUUGUCCGGAGAGACACAAACACUUCAUUCACACAAAUAGAAAUCCUCUCGCUGCACCCCCCCCAACACCACUGUUUCUAUUUUGUUCCCUUCUAAGUCAGGCUCAUUUCACCCAAGCCAUCUAAGCUAUCUCACGCCGUAGCACCAGAUACAAUUAUACAUGGAGGCAAGAAAUUUCUAUUUUGGUCCCCAGAAAAUUAUGUGAUUUUGCUUAAGUUCAAUUUUAAAACAUGGAAUAUGACUGAACUUAAUGUUAGUACUUAAGAAAAAUGUUCACAGUAAUUACAGCUGAGGAUACAUAUAUGCAAUUUAUUUCAAAUUUAGUAAUACAAAAAAAUUCUGGAUCCUAACAUAACUAUUUAUAACUUGGCCAGGAGAACUCUGAGAAUCCCAGUUAUUUCGCCAGAAUAGGUUAUUCUUCAUGUAUCUUAUUUAAGCAAUAACGCGUGACAGAGUGUGAAUUAUGGCAUAUUAAUUCUCACCUAGUGUGCUAUUAGGCUAACGUUGACGGCCGAGAGCUAUCAGUGCAACUAGGCAUGAAUUAAUAUCUAAUAAUUCCCCUGCCGAAACGUCUUAUUGAGAUUAUAGCAUUUUUAUUAG